This is a long non-coding RNA of Calypte anna (Anna's hummingbird), 563 nucleotides long. RefSeq lists it as uncharacterized. The transcript has 3 exons. NCBI's taxonomy places the organism in Eukaryota, Metazoa, Chordata, Aves, Apodiformes, Trochilidae. The record is from RefSeq and is a predicted model, not a curated record.
GGGAGAUCCCCGUCCCUGCCGGGCGGGGGGAUUAAAGAGCGCUGCGGGAAUAAAUAAAUGACGGCGUGGGGAUGCAUCUAUCUAACUUAAAAAGGAGCUUGCUGAUGGAGGAAUAAAAGGUAUUUCAGUGGUCCCCCUAUCUCAGCUCUGAGUGCCUAAACCCCUGAGGUGGUAAUUACAAGACGAUAGCUCCAAUUCUGAGGGAUGCAGAUGAUUUGUCAGGCUGAGAACAGAAAAUUGGAGGAGGAUAAAGUUGGCAGAGACUGACAGAAGAAAUAAUUUAACACAGAGGCAGAUUUUGUAGAAGAGGCUGGAAGAAUCUGGCUCAUCCUCUCUGCAGCAAUGGACUGGGCUUCCAGUUGGCAAGAACCAGUUGCUACCAGUAGCUGUCACUGGGAUGUGUCCUUGAAGCCCCAAGUUUAAAAUUCCAGGACUUGAUGUCUAAAAGGCAAAAGAUGUUGCUAUUUAUAAAACGGCUUCUGUGAGGGAAAAUGAAGCGUGAAUUAUGGCUACACAGAGAUCUGUGUAAAAAAGUAGUCUGUACAAGGAAAAAGCCCUCUUAA